RNAcentral lists this ribosomal RNA (547 nucleotides) under Candida tropicalis. RNAcentral's name for it is "eukaryotic LSU rRNA". It matches the Rfam family "Eukaryotic large subunit ribosomal RNA", at positions 49 to 602 of the family's 3401-position model. Lineage: Eukaryota; Fungi; Ascomycota; Pichiomycetes; Serinales; Debaryomycetaceae. The record is from RNAcentral.
AGCGGAGGAAAAGAAACCAACAGGGAUUGCCUUAGUAGCGGCGAGUGAAGCGGCAAAAGCUCAAAUUUGAAAUCUGGCUCUUUCAGAGUCCGAGUUGUAAUUUGAAGAAGGUAUCUUUGGGUCUGGCUCUUGUCUAUGUUUCUUGGAACAGAACGUCACAGAGGGUGAGAAUCCCGUGCGAUGAGAUGAUCCAGGCCUAUGUAAAGUUCCUUCGAAGAGUCGAGUUGUUUGGGAAUGCAGCUCUAAGUGGGUGGUAAAUUCCAUCUAAAGCUAAAUAUUGGCGAGAGACCGAUAGCGAACAAGUACAGUGAUGGAAAGAUGAAAAGAACUUUGAAAAGAGAGUGAAAAAGUACGUGAAAUUGUUGAAAGGGAAGGGCUUGAGAUCAGACUUGGUAUUUUGUAUGUUACUUCUUCGGGGGUGGCCUCUACAGUUUAUCGGGCCAGCAUCAGUUUGGGCGGUAGGAGAAUUGCGUUGGAAUGUGGCACGGCUUUGGUUGUGUGUUAUAGCCUUCGUCGAUACUGCCAGCCUAGACUGAGGACUGCGGUU